This 448-nucleotide ribosomal RNA is filed under the name uncultured bacterium. Its description in RNAcentral is "bacterial SSU rRNA". It matches the Rfam family "Bacterial small subunit ribosomal RNA", at positions 329 to 792 of the family's 1533-position model. The record is from RNAcentral.
CACCAGACUCCUACGGGAGGCAGCAGUGGGGGAUAUUGCACAAUGGGGGAAACCCUGAUGCAGCGACGCCGCGUGGGCGAAGAAGUAUUUCGGUAUGUAAAGCCCUAUCAGCAGGGAAGAAGAAAUGACGGUACCUGAGUAAGAAGCACCGGCUAAAUACGUGCCAGCAGCCGCGGUAAUACGUAUGGUGCAAGCGUUAUCCGGAUUUACUGGGUGUAAAGGGAGCGCAGGCGGCACGGCAAGCCUGAUGUGAAAGCCCGGGGCCCAACCCCGGGACUGCUCUUGGAACUGCGUGGCUAGAGUGCAGGAGGGGCAGGCGGAAUUCCUGGUGUAGCGGUGAAAUGCGUAGAUAUCAGGAGGAACACCGGUGGCGAAGGCGGCCUGCUGGACUGCAACUGGCGUUGAGGCCCGAAAGCGUGGGGAGCAAACAGGAUUAGAUACCCGUGUA